Molecule: ribosomal RNA, 253 nt
Filed under: uncultured bacterium
Lineage: Bacteria
Description: partial 16S ribosomal RNA
Rfam family: Bacterial small subunit ribosomal RNA
Source: RNAcentral
UACAGAGGGGGCAAGCGUUAUUCGGGAUUAUUGGGCGUAAAGGGCGCGUAGGCGGCCUGGCAAGUGGAAGGUGAAAUCCCUCGGCUUAACCGAGGAACUGCCCUCCAAACUGCUUGGCUUGAGUCCGGGAGAGUUGAGUGGAAUUCCCAGUGUAGCGGUGAAAUGCGUAGAUAUUGGGAGGAACACCAGUGGCGAAGGCGGCUCACUGGACCGGAACUGACGCUGAGGCGCGAAAGCGUGGGGAGCAAACGGG